GUUCCCUGUGGACAGAUAACUUCAGGAUGAAAGCUGCAUGCUGCUUGGAUAAAAGAUAGGGACCAUCUAUUUCUCAUUCUUGCGGUCAAGGAGACCUAUGGUACUACACACUCACAGAAACAUUCCUCAGGGGUCAGACAAAGGAGAGGCACCAGACCGUAAUACAUCCUGUCAACUUCUCAGAGACCCUUGUGCUAAAAUCCAUCCUGGCUAAAAGAUGCCUGUGCACACGGGAGGGCCCCGAGUCAGACCAAGGCCAAUUGAAGCAAGAUGAUUGGCCAGAGGAAGGACUGCCCCCAUAUACAUGACUUAAAGGACCUCAAACCCAGGUUCCUCUCUUUCUCUUUGUCUUUGCCUCUGUCUCUCUCUCUCUCCCUCUACACUCCCCACUCUCCAGCUAUCUGGUGCUUUCUCCACACCUGUCUUCUUUCUUCUCUCUUAAUAAACCCUGCCUGUGCUUUCUCCAUAUUAUCUUCUUUCUCUUCUCUCUUGAUAAACACUAAUUUACCUCACUAUCCUCAGUCUCUUUGCAGAAUUCUUUCUCCAAAGGGACAAGUUCUGGGUACCUACACCAAGUGGUUAGGGUUCAGUGUUCUCACCCCACAGCUACCUGAAAACAAUUUCAUAUUCUAUUUUUAAGCAGUUAUGGAGCAAGUAAACAGCUUUUAUGCCUCUUUGUUCUGAAUUGCCUUUAGCUCAAAAUAAUCCGUAUGCCAGACAGGUGUAUUUUGGAGUGUCAUAUUCUAGUACUCUUCAACUUGUUUUUCUUUUUCUUUUUCCUUUUUUGGCUUCCCAGUGGCAUAUGGAGAUGCCUGAGCAGGUUAUUAGGUCUAAGUUGCAGUUGCGAACUAUGCUACAGCUGUGGCAACACCAGAUCCUUAACCCGUUUUGCUGGGAUUGAAUCUGCACUACCUUGCUCCAGAGACAGCACUGAUCUUAUUGUGCCACAAUAGGAUCUCCUCAAUUUGCUUUUCUAUAAUUAAAAAUAUACCUUGAUAAACUUCCCAUGGAUUCUCCUCAAAAUUAUGGUAACACUGAUAUAAUAUUUUAUUGAAUACCAUUGGAUAAGUGCUGUUAGCAUAAUAAUAGAAGGGAAUUUUAUGUUUGCUCUCAGCAUUCCUUUAACCUUCAUUUGGUUAGGGUGACUUCCCUGACCCAUGAUAAAAAUUCUUGAAAACCUUUGUCUUUUCUUCCCAGUCUUAAGAAAUGCUGACCCAGAUUCUAGUCUCACUUUAAUUUUCAGAUCAAACAUUGCCUACCAUAUCAAUAAACGAAAGACGUCACUGUCGUUAGAGAUUGCAGCCACCUUCAAGAGUGAGCUGGUGAGCUCUGAGGGAACUCAGGAAGGAAACAAAGAAUACCUGCUAUCUAGCAGCCAUCAGACUGCAGCCAUUCCUGGCAGUGAGCCCUGAGGAAAUGUAGGAUAUUGGCCCCAAUGGCUGAGGUGCACAUCAAAGGAAUAAUUUCAGUGAGCCCAGACCUUGCAUCUUCCCAUACAUAGAAAAGUGCUAAAUUCCUUAACUUGAGCUAUCUAGUUUUCUGUUCUUAGCAGUAAUCUUUUGUUCCUACUACCUGCCCUUUGUUGCAAAAUUCCUAUAUAUUCUAUCGCUCCGCAAGUGUUAACUUGGAAUGCAGUCUCCAGGGCUUACCUCCUCAGUUUUGUCCACCAAAUAAAGCAAAACUCUAAACUUUUAGGUUGUGCAUAUUUUUUAUUUGACACCAUCUAAAAUCUAAAGUUAUAAUAUUUAUUUAAAAUCUUUUUUUUUUUUUGCCGCACCCAUGGCAUAUAGAAAUUUCUGGGCAGGAAUCGAAUCUGAGUCAUAGCUGCAACCUACACCACAGUCCAGGAACACCAGAUCCAUAACCCACUGCACCAGGCCAGGGAUUGAACCUGUACCUCAGCAGCAACCUGAGCUACUGCAAAGACGACAACACUAGGUCCUUAAUAUGCUGUACCACAAUAGGAAAUCUCUUUAAAAAUCUUACUCAAAAUUUUGGACUUGAUUUAAAAUCAAAUCUUCUCUCCUUUAGGUUUGCUUCAGUCCCAAAGCCUUCAUAGGAUGAGCAAGUAGGAUAGAGAUAGUGUUUGGUGUCUUUUCUAUUCCUGUGUUUUCCCAUUUAGAUAAAGUGGUUAAAAGGGUCAUGAGAAUCCUUUCUUGGAAGUGUACUGUGGUAAAUUGGCUUCCUAUACUUUGAACCUGGUCUGUGUUUAAAUUUGACUACUUUCUUGUAAAGUGUUGGGAUGCAGGAAGUUUUUCUCUACCCAUUAUUGGCUGAAAAUAAAAUACAUAUCAAUAGAAUUGUGAGUUAAAUAUUGUUUGGGGCAAAAUGAAGACUAUAGCCUGGGAAGAGGCCUAUCAGAUAGCUCUGAGAAAACACUCCAAAAAGGCAGGAGGGAAUGUCAGUAUAUAUGUGAUUUUGGUGAGGGGGUUGGGGGGGUCCAUGCAAUCAAGCACACAUUUUUACAGAAGGUUGCUGCUAGUCUCCUGAAGGUCACUGCUACUCAUGAGGAGCAGAUGUCACCAUGGAGGAUUUUAGUGGUUUUUUAGAUGAGGCAAUGCAUAAAAUCUUCUCCUAAAAAUAUGUAACUAUCUGAAGGCCUGUUCUGCCAGUUUUUCCAGAGCACAAAGUGUCUCACUCCUAAUCUCUACCCUGAGUUCCUUUGAGGGGGUGUUGAAGGUCAGCAGCUGCAGGGGCUCAUGAUUUAAUCCUUGUAGAGGCAAGUGACACGUGCCAGUCUCCAGUUAGCAUCUUCUAGGUUCUUCUGGCUGGUUUAUGAAUUAACUUGUCAUGAGACAGAUUUACAGAAGAAAAGUCAAAUUUUAAUAACAUGUAUACAUGGGAGAGAUCCAGGAUAACUAAGUAACUUGCCAAAAUGACUGAAACCCUUACCUUAAACACCAUCUUCAGCUAAAGACAAAAGAGGAUGUUAAGGGUAGGGAGUCAAUUAUGAGAAAAGCAGAGAAAACAAGGGUGAUUGUGAUCCAGAUUUAAGUCUUUACCUCCUCUAUUGAAAAGAAUUUCUAAAAAUUUGGCCAUCUUCCUCUCCCUGGUACCAGGGAGAUACCUUUACAAAUGGUGAUUAGUAGAAGCCUAUUGUCAUGGGUUGGGAAGAAAUGGAAAGUGACUGCUACUGGGUCCAGGGUUUCUUUUUUUCAGGUAAUGAAAAUGUUCUAAAAUUGACUGUAGAGAAGAAUUGCACAACUCAGUAUGUUGGAAACCAUUGAAUUGUUUACUUCAAAUAGUAUUUGAAUUAUAUCUCAAUCAAGGUGUUAUAUAUAUAAAACAUAUUAUAUAUAAUAUAUAUCAUAUACAUUAAAGUCAUGAAAAAGAGUAGAUCCUGUAACCACAGAUUUAUAUAUCUAGUUUUAAUCUUUCAACUGAACUCUAGGUUAUCUACUGUCUAUUGAAUAUCUCUAUAUGCAUCUGUCACUAGAACCUAAGAUUGAAUUUCCCCAUCAAAACACUUGAAUUAUUUCUUAACAUUGUCAUCAUUCUAGUCACUAAGGCUUUGAAGCCUGUUGAAGUAACAUUGACUCUGCCCUCUCAACUUCUAAAUAAAAUUAACCAGCUACUCACAAAAUACUUCUUAAGAAAAUUAUUUGGUAGUUAUGACAAUGGUGGGAUAUUUUAGCCAACUAGAAAGCUAACUUUCAUAGUAAUUUUUAUUAGAGAUAACUUUCAGGGUUAUUUACAUUUCACCCUAGGAAAAAGUAGCUUUUCUUUCUCUCUGAAGGAAUUAUGUCAAUAUGUCCUAGUGUUUGUAAGCAGAAGCCCUUGAGAUAGAGCACCUGGGUUCAAAUCUUAUCUCUUCUACUGACAGCAUUGUGAACUUUUAACACCUCUGUGAUGAUUAAUUUUGUGUGUCAGUUUGACCAGGUCCCACAGUGCCAGAUAUUUGCUUAAGCAUUAUUUUGAGUCUUCCUGGGAUGGUGUUUUUGGAUAAAGUUAAACUUUAAAUCUGAAAUCUGGGUAAAGCAGAUUGUCCUCCAUAAUGUGAGUAGGCCUCAUCCAGUCAAUUGAAGUCUUUAAUAGAACAAAAAUACUCGUUCUUCCUCAAGUAAGAGAGAAUUCCUCUUACUUGACAGCCUUAGAACUGGGACAUUGGCUUUUUUCCUGCCCUCAGAUUUAAACUGGAACAUCAGCUCACCCUGGGUCUCCAGCUUGCUGGACUUCAAACUGUAAUUAAACCACCAGCUUUCCUGGGUCUUCUGCUUUCUGACUCAUCCUGCAGACCUUGGGACUUGGCCAGCCUCCAUAAUUAUGUGAGCCAACUCCUUAUAAUAAGUCUAAUCUAUACAUCUAAAUCUACAUAUCUAUCAUCUCUCUCUCCCUCUGUCUGUCUCUCUCCAUCCUCUUAGGUCUGGGUUUUUGUUUUUGUUUUUUUUGGAGAACUCUGAAUUAUAUUAAACAACCUCUUUCAAUUAGGCUACUUUCGGUUGCAAAUAAAAGAAACCCCAAUUCAAAUGGACUUAAACUUCAUUAGACAGCAGCAUGGCUUUUUGGACAGAUUUAAUCAGUGUCUUUGAAAUACCAUCGAGGAUGCAGGUUUGUUUUGUUUUUUUUUUUCUCAUCUCUGUAAUCUAUCAUGCUUAUAGUCAAUUUCAUCAUCACUGCAGCCAAUGGCUACAGAUAAUCCUGUUGUUACCAAGACACAAUCAUAUUCAGAGGAAGAAGUUAAAACAUUCCUUCCUGUGCUUUCUCGUAUUAGCAAGUAAAUAUUUUCCAGAAGCUUCCAAUUUCUCUUCAUGACUUAAGAAUUAAGGAAUGGUUCAUAUAGAAUUACUGAUGUCUGUCCAAUUCAAAUAAAUGAGUGUGGAAUAGACUCACAGAUGAAGAGUAGAACAAAAUUGUUACUCUUUUGAGAAGGAAUAAGCAGGUUGCAAUAAAAAAUACCACUACAUUCUCUAGUCCUCAGUUUCUAUGUAAAACGGGUAGAGAAAUAGCAUCCACCAUAAAGAGUUAUUGUGAAAAUUAAAAGGGAUUCUGCCUUUAAUAAGAAUGUUUACCAUUGUGAUUGAUGUAUUAUACUCAUUUGAUAAAUAAGUUCUUAUUCAUUGAAAUAUUCAUAUUUUCUUUUUCAUUUUCUAUUGCUCAGUAAUCUGUGGAAAAAGGAAAGGUGAGGAGAGGAGAAAAGAAGAAAAGGAAGAAAUUUCUACCUUCCUAUUAUAUUUAUUUGUUUAUUGUUCACAGUCCUGAAAUUAAAUGUUGAUUUCCAGUGUUAGGCAGAUCAGAAUAGAAUUGUUUUUAUUGAACAAAAUACAUUAUUUCUAAAACUCAGGUUUCUUGAAGUAGACAUUUCAUGAUGUUUCUAUUAUUGAAUGACUUUUGUUCCAUGAAGUGUAUUUUUAAAUUCCCCAAAUAAUCGCAUUCACAUGUGGUAAACAAAUAUCAUUCCCAUGUCACACCUACUUCCUAUUUAAAGUACACAGAUAAAUGUUCCUGUUUGUUUGAAUUUUAAAGUAAGAUAUUUGAUGAAUUCCUGCUGUGGUGCACAAGGGAUCCUGUGCUGUCUGUCCAGGCAUUGGGUUUGAGGUGUGGAUUUGAACCCUGGCCUGGUGUAGUGGGUUAGGGAUCCUGUGUUGUGGCAGGUAUGCCAUGGGUUGCACCUGUGGCUCAGAUUUGAUCCCUUGAUCCCUGGCCUGGGAAUUUCUAUAUGCCGCAAGUGCAGC
This 5672-nucleotide long non-coding RNA is filed under the name Sus scrofa (pig). Its description in RNAcentral is "lncRNA (ENSSSCG00000060268.1)". The record is from RNAcentral. Lineage: Eukaryota; Metazoa; Chordata; Mammalia; Artiodactyla; Suidae.